GUUGGUGUUUUUAUCGCACAGGGUCCACCUGUACCCAUUCCGAACACAGAAGUUAAGCUGUGCGGAGCCGAAGAUACUUGUCUGGCGACGGACCGGGAAAAUAGGUCAAUGCCAACC
This 117-nucleotide ribosomal RNA is filed under the name Clostridia bacterium. The record is from RNAcentral. Lineage: Bacteria; Bacillati; Bacillota; Clostridia.